Molecule: long non-coding RNA, 732 nt
Organism: Hipposideros armiger (great roundleaf bat)
Lineage: Eukaryota; Metazoa; Chordata; Mammalia; Chiroptera; Hipposideridae
Exons: 3
Source: RefSeq, a predicted model, not a curated record
CCAUCAUCGGUGUGAACCAGUCAGGCCAGGCUCUGCACAGAGCCAGCUGGGUCUGGGCCGUCGGGAGGGGAAGGUGGGCAAACUUCCAGCAAAGGCGGCAUGUCUCUUUUCAGAGCAGCGUCUUCACAUACGAAGAUAGAGGUUUUUAUGAAAAAAUUGUCUCCAGUUUCUCUGAGCAGCAGCUGGAUGGCAACGAGUCCCCCCUGGUGGAUGUGCCCAGCCAGAGGGGGCCGGACGAGGGCCACCCCGCAGAAUCAGAGGGAGUGACCACCCUUGUGACUAUGCCCCCCAACGAGGAACUGACGGAGAUCUCACUGGGCAAGAUAACAGAGGGUGAGAUUGGACCUUUCAGCUCCAUCAAGGUGCCCAUCAUCUUUUCCCCGGUCAUCCCAGGAGCCAUCCAGACCAGGUUCAAAGUCAUGUUUAAGAAUCAGCAGUGCCCGACAGUGAGUGUCCCACAACUGCUUUACACACAUGGUCACUGGGGCACGGAGCCUUCCCUGGGCACAGGGUCCCCGCCCCUCUGUGCUCCCUCCCCACACAACGUGAGGCAGCUGCUCAUGUCACCCACAUGGACGGCUACUUGGUGUCACAGAUGGUUAACACCCAUAGCCAACACGCACACACGCACGCACACACGCACACACAGCCUUUGUUCUUAAUAGCUAGAAAUGUCUUUCUUAAUUUCCAGGUAGUUAAAAUUAUUAUUCACUACUUAUCAUUUAUUUAUAA